GUUACAGUGAGGAAGGCUGAACCACAGUGAGUUAAGCUAAGCCACACUGGUCUCCUGGCUGUGCUUCUUAGGUCAUCUUGGUCACUAGUAGAAUAUUGUUGCACACUAUCAUACUGCUCCUUUCAUGUAUGGGACUAAUACUUCUGGAAGAAUAUUUUUAAGUUAACUCUACCCCCAAUGUGGGGUUCCAACUCACAACCCCGAGAUCAAGAGUCGCAUGAUCCACCAACUUAGCCAGCAAAGCACCCUUAAAAGAAGUUCAUUAAAGUAAAUUCAAUUCCUUUGCAAGUAUUCAAUUGAAAUAAAUUAAAAUCUUAAGUAGAGAAUUGUAACUACCAAAAUGAUCUUCAGCACCUACUACACAGUUCACUUCACAUUCAGGGCUGCGGACAGUGCUCCUGAGCUUUGUCCUCAUGAAGCUUAUCAAAAAACACAGAAUAUGAGGGGCACCUGGGUGGCUCAGUCGGUGGAUCGUCCAACGUCAGCUCAGGUCAUGAUCUCACAGUUUGCGACUUUGAGCCCCACAUUGGGCUCUGUGUGGGCAGUUCAGAGCCUGGAGUCUGCUUCAAAUUCUGUGUCUCCCUCUCUCUCUGCCCCUCCCCCACUCAUAUUCUGUCUCUUUCUCAAAAAUAAAUAUUCAAGAAAUUAAAAAAAACAACAACACAGAAUAUGAUGGAAAUGAAGACGAAGGUCUAGACAUGUACAAAUGCAAUUAAGCACCUUUGGCCUGAUGCAAAGUGUAUAAUAGACCUGAAGCAAGAAGAAGAAAUAUUUCUUCAUAUAUAAAGGUACUUCUGAAAUUAUGUAUUGACAAUUAGAAGAUAAAAGUGAAAAUAUAAAAAAAUUACAUCGACAUAUAGAAAAGAGCAUCAACGGGUUUUGCAAAAGGCUUGUAAGACAUAGUUGUUGUUUUUUUUUUACAUCUAAGCUUAUGAAGUUAUUUUAUACAUGUUUGAAGAGAAAUAUAAAACUUAUUUUUAGGCCAAAUGUUCAUGAACAAAAAAGUUUAGUAAACCAGGUAUUAGAAUUUGGGCUGGAAAUAUUAAUGUUAUUUUAGUUUCUGUGAGUGAUUUCCAGGACCACUUUGACAAGUUAAGGAUGAUAGUAAGGAAUAACUACAAAUUAUUACAGGUUUUAUGACAUAAUUGAUAGUGUUUUCCAAACUUAAAGCCUAAGCCAUGUAUCUAAGAGUGCCAGAUAAGUCUCUCACUUUAUUUCAAAGUCCUUCAUAGUAGUGCUUUAAAGGAUCUUAUAGCAGUAGACUCAGUAGUUAAAAUUCAUACUCUCUGUGUCACACUUACGAGGCAGAAAAUAAUUCAUGGCUAGACAUCCCAAAUUUCGAGUCAGGUUCUUUCCAGACACAUCUGUGCACCAAAUGAAAAUGCAAAGCAUUUCAUUGCAUAGUACAUCAUUUGAUUGGGGAAUAAAUGGAAGAUUUAUUGCUAAUAGUUUUUUUUGCUGUUCACAUUUAAAUACAUAAGAUAAAAUGGAAAGGAAGUUCUGGUUUGGUACUGCUUUCAUUACAAUUGCCAAAAGCAGUGAUCUAUAGUUCCCCCCAAAAAAAGAAGAAGAAGAAGAAGAAGGAGUCAUCACUCCUUCAGCUAAUAGUAGAUAAACAUUUAAAAUGUUUAUCUUAGGGGCACCUGGGUGGCUCAGUCGCUUAAGCAUCCGACUUUGGCUCAGGUCAUGAUCUCACAGUUGAUGGGUUUGAGCCCUGCCUCAGGCUCUGUGCUGACAGUUCAGAGCCUGGAGCCUGCUUCAGAUUCUCUCCCUCUCUCUGUCCCUCCCCCACUUGCUCUCUCUUUCUCUCUCUCUUUCUCUCAAGAAUAAACAUUUUUAAAAAAGAAAUUAAAAUUUUUAUCUUAAAAAUGAACACUCUUACAUGAGUAUAUGUCUUUCCCAGUGAACUUUCUCUUAUUCUGUAUACUAACCAUCCUUGCUGUUGAGUAGAAAACUUGCAAAAUUUCUCCUACAUACCUUAAUCUUUACCACCAUUUAAAGAGAAGAAGAGGGGCUCCUGGGUGGCUCAGGCAGUUAAGCAUCUGACUUCAGUUCAGAUCAUGAUCUCAUGGAUUGUCAGUUCAGGCCCCAUGUAGGGCUCUGUGCUGACAGCUCAGAGCCUGGAGCCUGCUUCGGAAUCUGUGUCUCCCUUUCUCUCUACCCCUCCCCUGCUCACAUUCUCUCUUUCUCUCUCUCCCUCAAAAAACAAAAACAAAAACAAAAAAAAAAAACAAAAAAAAAACAUUAAAAAAACUAAAGAGAAGAAGAAAUUGUGAUAAUAGCUUAAUCUAGCAAGUUUGAAACAAAUCCACCAGAAUAAGUGUAAAGUGUAAGAUAAUUAAAAAUUACAUUGAGUAAAGAAAGGAAAAAUAUUGUCUGUUCUGAAAUUUAAGACAAGAUGGGAAAUGACUUUUUAAAGCUUUUGAUUUUGAAAAGUUAUAGAGAAACAGGAAGUUGCAAAGAUAGAAUAGAGAAGUAUCAUGUACCCUUCACUCAGUUCCCCCAAUGGUUAUAACUUACAUAACUGUAGUAUAAUAUGAAAACCAGAAAAAUUGACAUGAGCACAAUGUGUGUGUAGUUCUAUAACAUUUAAUCACAUGUGUAGAUUUGUGUAAUGACCACCAUCAUCAAGACACAGAACUAUGCCAUCACCACAAAGAUCUCUUUCUCUUGCUAUCCUUUUAUAGCACCCUUCUGCCACCAUCCAUAAUCUCUGACAACCACUAAUUUGUUCUCCACCUCUAUAAUUUUGUCAUCUCAAGAAUGUUAUAUAAAUGGAAUCAUACAGUAUGUGAUACUUAGAGAUUGGGGUUUCUUCUUCUUCUUCUUCUUCUUCUUCUUCUUCUUCUUCUUCUCACUCAGCAUGAUGCCCUCAAGAUUCAUCCAAAUUGUUGCAUUAUGAAUAGUUCAUUCCUUUUUAUUAGAACAAAUAUGCAGAAUUGCCAGUGCUGGUUGUAUGAUAAGAGUAUGUUUAGUUUUUAAGAAAACUAAGCUGCUUUCCGGACUGGCUGUACAUUCUCACUAGUAAUUGUGCAAGAUCCAGUUUCUCUGUAUCCCCUCCUGCAUUUGGUAUUGUCACUAUUUGUACUGUAACUGUACAAAUAGAUGUGUGGUUAUAUCUCAUCAGGGUCUUAAACUGCAUUUCCCUAAUGCUAAUGAUUUUUAACACCUUUUCAUGCAUUUAUUUCCAUCUGUAUAUUUCAUCAAAAGGCCUAAGUCUAUUUAUUUUAAUGUAUUCAUAGACACCAAAUGAUAUUACACAAUACCAAGUAAUUUCUUCAAAUAGUAAAUGUCGUUAUUAAUCAAAAAGGCUAAUUUUCUGACUAAGGCUCCUUUGUGACAUAAUCCAAGGUAUUGUAUAGAAUAAAAUUACAGUGCAUAUACCAUCCUAUAAUUAAUAAACAUUAAUUAAAGUUUAAAAAUACUUUCAAAGCAGUAAAAAAGUACAAAAAUAUAAUAUCCCCAAACAAAAUGAAUCAAAGAAAAUAAUCAAAUACUCAAUGUUUUCAAAAUAAUUUAAAAACAGUACAUAAGCUUAUAAUUGUAGGAGAACAAAGGAAAGGCUUAUAAUGAUGCUUUGUCUGAAAAAAAAGCAUUUGUACAGAAUGAUAUGAUAUAAUGUACAUAUUCAUAAUAAUCAGAAGGUGAGAAAGGAUAUUAUUUAAUAUAUAUUUCUAAAUAGGAUUAUUUUUUAAGUAGCUUUCUUUACACUUGUUUUUACUUUUUAUUAACAACACAAGGAAAGCUACCAGAAGUCUUGGUAUUGAAUGAUAAGUAGACUUAUCACAGGGGAAAUAAAUGUCGACAUGAUAGUUAUUGAAGCUAUAUUUUGUUUUUGUUUUUUUUGUUUUUUUUGUUUUUUUUUCAAUAUAUGAAAUUUAUUGUCAAAUUGGUUUCCAUACAACACCCAGUGCUCAUCCCAAAAGGUGCCCUCCUCGAUACCCAUCACCCACCCUCCCCUCCCUCCCACCCCCAUCAACCCUCAGUUUGUUCUCAGUUUUUAAGAGUCUCUUAUGCUUUGGCUCUCUCCCACUCUAACCUCUUUUUUUUUUUCCUUCCCCUCCCCCAUGGGUUUCUGUUAAGUUUCUCAGGAUCCACAUAAGAGUGAAAACAUAUGGUAUCUGUCUUUCUCUGUAUGGCUUAUUUCACUUAGCAUCACACUCUCCAGUUCCAUCCACGUUGCUACAAAGGGCCAUAUUUCAUUCUUUCUCAUUGCCACGUAGUACUCCAUUGUGUAUAUAAACCACAAUUUCUUUAUCCAUUCAUCAGUUGAUGGACAUUUAGGCUCUUUCCAUAAUUUGGCUAUUGUUGAGAGUGCUGCUAUAAACAUUGGGGUACAAGUGCCCCUAUGCAUCAGUACUCCUGUAUCCCUUGGGUAAAUUCCUAGCAGUGCUAUUGCUGGGUCAUAGGGUAGGUCUAUUUUUAAUUUUNUUUGCAUUCCCACCAACAGUGCAAGAGGGUUCCCGUUUCUCCACAUCCUCUCCAGCAUCUAUAGUCUCCUGAUUUGUUCAUUUUGGCCACUCUGACUGGCGUGAGGUGAUAUCUGAGUGUGGUUUUGAUUUGUAUUUCCCUGAUAAGGAGCGCCGUUGAGCAUCUUUUCAUGUGCCUGUUGGCCAUCCGGAUGCCUUCUUUAGAGAAGUGUCUAUUCAUGUUUUCUGCCUAUUUCUUCACUGGGUUAUUUAUUUUUUGGGUGUGGAGUUUGGUGAGCUCUUUAUAGAUUUUGGAUACUAGCCCUUUGUCCGAUAUGUCAUUUGCAAAUAUCUUUUCCCAUUCCGUUGGUUGCCUUUUAGUUUUGUUGAUUGUUUCCUUUGCUGUGCAGAAGCUUUUUAUCUUCAUAAGGUCCCAGUAAUUCAUUUUUGCUUUUAAUUCCCUUGCCUUUGGGGAUGUGUUGAGUAAGAGAUUGCUACGGCUGAGGUCAGAGAGGUUGAAGCUAUAUUUUGAAUGCAGUUGAUAAUUCUCCUGAAUUAUUGAAUUUACUUGGGUGAAAAUAUUCAUUCUACCAACAUUUAUUAAGCACCAACUGUAUACCUUUAUUAAGCAAGUACUGUGUAAGGCUCUUGGAAUUCAUUGGAAAUAAAUAUUCUCUGAUUUUAAGAGUCUUAAAAUAUAGUAGGGAGAAACAGAAUUACAAAAAGCUUAAGUGCACUAAUAUUUCCUUGAAAUGCUAAAAGAAAAAGGAAUGAGAUCUUAUGGUCCAAGAUAGUUAACUCUCUGAACUUACAAUAAAACUAUUCUGAAUACUUAUUUGAUAGAAUUUACUUACAUAGCACUUUAAUUUCUAAUUUAUUUUCACUUAGAAAUUUCAAAUUCAUGAAAAUUACAUAGAAAAAUGGGAGAGAGAUGAAAAGAUGAGAGUUGAUAACAACUUUCUGUACCUAAUAGUUAUGAAUUGUAUUAUUUAUUUUCGCUCUAUUAAUUAAUCCAAAAGGUUUGAUUUGGUUCUGGCUAAUGGAAAUGCUAUGUAUAUCUGUUGUAUACUAUAAAUAUUUACAUAUUUCCAUUAUUUAAUAAUUAAAUACUGUAUAAAUUCCAGACUGUACAUGUGAGCUAAUAUAGUCACACAUUAAAAUGUGACAUAGUAUUCUAAUAUUAGAAUUCAUGUAUGAGAAUAUGAAUGGUCAUUUCUCAUAAAUUUGAUAGUGUUUCCCAGAACUGAAGACUCCAAGAAAAAAAAAAAAGUACAUGCAUAAAGUACUCUCUAUAGACCUGGAGGGAUUUUACAAGAAAAUAAUGGGAAGAAUUGUUUCCAAUUCCACUCAGGACUGAAUAAGAGACAUGAAAGAAAAGACGCUAUUUGGAUAGAAGAUUUCUUAAAUGCUUCAAAUUUGAAAGGGAUAGACGAAGUGUGUUAAAAAUAUCCACCACCUGAAAAAUACCCGAAAUAGAAUUUUCCUUUUAUAGGUCUAAUUAGCCAGGAAAAUGGGCUGGAUUCCUUCUUAAGGUCACUCUAACCUCUAAGGAAUCUAUGUCUUCUCUUCAAUAAGAACAGAGCCUCCUUCUCUCUUACCUCCAUCCUGAUCAGGCAACGUAAUUGGCAUUCUGUGAUUGCUUUCUUAAUGCUAAUACCACAAUAAACAGUGCCAUCUACUGACUAAAUUCUAUAAUUGACUACCUCUCAGAAUAGUAAAUACUCAUAUUUGUUAUCUAUGUUUACAUGAGUCACGUGUUAUAUUGUACUUAUUUAAAGCUACCAGGAAUGUAUAUAUCCUCUAUCUUGAUCUUCCUGUUUUUUGUUUUUGUUUUACAGAUGAGAAGGUUGAGAUCCAAAAAGAUCAAUCAAUUUGCCCAAAAUUUUGACAGGCGUUUUUCAGUGAGCACCACCAUGAACUAAACCCUGGGAAUAGAAAGAAAUUUGACACUUUGGAGGUGGAAAUCAAUCUGUAAAGUUGUCCAUCCAUUGGGGAAAAUAUGUGACAAAUAUGAUUAAUGACAAAAGUAUGAAAUCCAUAUAGCAAGGCAAGUUGAGAAAUAGCUGAUGUAAAGUUUUAGGAGAAGGAAAUGCUCACAUGUAGUUUUAAGUUAAAAAAAUGAAAGAGGAAAUACUAAAUUAAGGUUAUUUUGUUCUUCUCUUUUUAACAGAAGGUUGAAACUAUUUGUGGAUUGUUACAGAAGCUUGAUUUGUUCUCAAAAAUGUAUGAUAUAUAAAAUCAACUCAUUUUGCUUUAAG
RNAcentral lists this long non-coding RNA (6667 nucleotides) under Lynx pardinus (Iberian lynx). The record is from RNAcentral. Lineage: Eukaryota; Metazoa; Chordata; Mammalia; Carnivora; Felidae.